AAUCAAAAUUUUUAUCUAUUUCUACUGUUAAAAACUGGUGUGGCUUACGGAAUAAUAUGAUAGUUACACAUGGUGUGUCACGUGUACCUCAUGUUGAUGUACAUGGACUAAUUUUUAAUAAUAGAAAUGGAUGAAAUUUUUAACA
Gossypium raimondii (Peruvian cotton) is the source of this 145-nucleotide non-coding RNA. NCBI's taxonomy places the organism in Eukaryota, Viridiplantae, Streptophyta, Magnoliopsida, Malvales, Malvaceae. The record is from Rfam.